UGUAAUGGGUAGUAACACUAUUUAACUGAGAAUUAGGCCAUGAAUUCUUAUUAUUGCUAUAAUCAGCACCAGCAUCAGUAACAUAAGCAGGUUGUGGAGGAUACUGCACCAUUAAAGCAGGAUUAUGAGAGGCAUAAAUGCAUGGUGGUGGUGGUGGUGGUAAUUGAGGUUUAUUGAAGAAAUUAUUAGGGUUUGAGGAAGAUUCAAUUGGGUUCUUGUUCUUGAGGUGGUUGGUUUGAACCCAUUCAAGAAUAAGCUUUAGCAAACGCUUCAUCCCUUGUUUUCCUCCGCCCAAUCGCUUCGCCGCGGAUUCGAUCGUUGAUUUCUUCAGCUUCACACUUCUCAAAUCACUCGCUGAGAUUUUGUCCUUGUU
Molecule: long non-coding RNA, 373 nt
Filed under: Arachis ipaensis
Lineage: Eukaryota; Viridiplantae; Streptophyta; Magnoliopsida; Fabales; Fabaceae
Description: long non-coding RNA (AIPA_LNC000376)
Source: RNAcentral